Molecule: ribosomal RNA, 253 nt
Filed under: uncultured bacterium
Lineage: Bacteria
Description: partial 16S ribosomal RNA
Rfam family: Bacterial small subunit ribosomal RNA
Source: RNAcentral
UACGAAGGGGGCGAGCGUUGUUCGGAAUUACUGGGCGUAAAGGGCGCGUAGGCGGCCGAUCAAGUCGGAUGUGAAAGUCCUGGGCUUAACCUGGGGACUGCAUUUGAUACUGAUUGGCUUGAAUUCGGGAGAGGAUAGCGGAAUUCCCAGUGUAGAGGUGAAAUUCGUAGAUAUUGGGAAGAACACCGGUGGCGAAGGCGGCUAUCUGGACCGACAUUGACGCUGAGGCGCGAAAGCGUGGGGAGCAAACAGG